This 1369-nucleotide ribosomal RNA is filed under the name uncultured bacterium. RNAcentral describes it as "bacterial SSU rRNA". It matches the Rfam family "Bacterial small subunit ribosomal RNA", at positions 28 to 1381 of the family's 1533-position model. The record is from RNAcentral.
GACGAACGCUGGCGGCGUGCCUAAUACAUGCAAGUAGAACGCUGAAGAGAGGAGCUUGCUCUUCUUGGAUGAGUUGCGAACGGGUGAGUAACGCGUAGGUAACCUGCCUUGUAGCGGGGGAUAACUAUUGGAAACGAUAGCUAAUACCGCAUAACAAUGGAUGACACAUGUCAUUUAUUUGAAAGGGGCAAUUGCUCCACUACAAGAUGGACCUGCGUUGUAUUAGCUAGUAGGUGAGGUAAUGGCUCACCUAGGCGACGAUACAUAGCCGACCUGAGAGGGUGAUCGGCCACACUGGGACUGAGACACGGCCCAGACUCCUACGGGAGGCAGCAGUAGGGGAUCUUCGGCAAUGGGGGCAACCCUGACCGAGCAACGCCGCGUGAGUGAAGAAGGUUUUCGGAUCGUAAAGCUCUGUUGUAAGUCAAGAACGGGUGUGAGAGUGGAAAGUUCACACUGUGACGGUAGCUUACCAGAAAGGGACGGCUAACUACGUGCCAGCAGCCGCGGUAAUACGUAGGUCCCGAGCGUUGUCCGGAUUUAUUGGGCGUAAAGCGAGCGCAGGCGGUUUGAUAAGUCUGAAGUUAAAGGCUGUGGCUCAACCAUAGUUCGCUUUGGAAACUGUCAAACUUGAGUGCAGAAGGGGAGAGUGGAAUUCCAUGUGUAGCGGUGAAAUGCGUAGAUAUAUGGAGGAACACCGGUGGCGAAAGCGGCUCUCUGGUCUGUAACUGACGCUGAGGCUCGAAAGCGUGGGGAGCGAACAGGAUUAGAUACCCUGGUAGUCCACGCCGUAAACGAUGAGUGCUAGGUGUUGGAUCCUUUCCGGGAUUCAGUGCCGCAGCUAACGCAUUAAGCACUCCGCCUGGGGAGUACGACCGCAAGGUUGAAACUCAAAGGAAUUGACGGGGGCCCGCACAAGCGGUGGAGCAUGUGGUUUAAUUCGAAGCAACGCGAAGAACCUUACCAGGUCUUGACAUCCCGAUGCUAUUUCUAGAGAUAGAAAGUUACUUCGGUACAUCGGUGACAGGUGGUGCAUGGUUGUCGUCAGCUCGUGUCGUGAGAUGUUGGGUUAAGUCCCGCAACGAGCGCAACCCCUAUUGUUAGUUGCCAUCAUUCAGUUGGGCACUCUAGCGAGACUGCCGGUAAUAAACCGGAGGAAGGUGGGGAUGACGUCAAAUCAUCAUGCCCCUUAUGACCUGGGCUACACACGUGCUACAAUGGUUGGUACAACGAGUUGCGAGUCGGUGACGGCGAGCUAAUCUCUUAAAGCCAAUCUCAGUUCGGAUUGUAGGCUGCAACUCGCCUACAUGAAGUCGGAAUCGCUAGUAAUCGCGGAUCAGCACGCCGCGGUGAAUACGUUCCCGGGCCU